GAGGCCAAGUUCAUUCUUUCCCCUUUAUAAGUAAAUCACCUUUUUAAUGUUUUCUUUUAAUGAAAAGUUUAAAUAUGAAGAUUCAAAUCAAGUGGGGUAAGCAAAGAUUAUAAAUAACUUCACAUCUGUUCAGGACAGAUUAUGCUACCUCGUUGGUUACCAAAAAAAAAAAAAAAACCCUCUAAAUUCUCUUAAAAAAAAAAAAAAGUC
RNAcentral lists this long non-coding RNA (210 nucleotides) under Canis lupus familiaris (dog). RNAcentral's name for it is "lncRNA (ENSCAFG00040018698.1)". Lineage: Eukaryota; Metazoa; Chordata; Mammalia; Carnivora; Canidae. The record is from RNAcentral.